RNAcentral lists this ribosomal RNA (482 nucleotides) under uncultured bacterium. RNAcentral describes it as "partial 16S ribosomal RNA". It matches the Rfam family "Bacterial small subunit ribosomal RNA", at positions 30 to 507 of the family's 1533-position model. The record is from RNAcentral.
AUUGAACGCUGGCGGCAUGCCUUACACAUGCAAGUCGAACGGUAACGGGCCUUCGGGUGCCGACGAGUGGCGAACGGGUGAGUAAUACAUCGGAACGUGCCCGAUCGUGGGGGAUAACGAGGCGAAAGCUUUGCUAAUACCGCAUACGAUCUACGGAUGAAAGCAGGGGACCGCAAGGCCUUGCGCGGACGGAGCGGCCGAUGGCAGAUUAGGUAGUUGGUGGGAUAAAAGCUUACCAAGCCGACGAUCUGUAGCUGGUCUGAGAGGAUGAUCAGCCACACUGGGACUGAGACACGGCCCAGACUCCUACGAGAGGCAGCAGUGGGGAAUUUUGGGCAAUGGGCGCAAGCCUGAUCCAGCCAUGCCGCGUGCAGGAUGAAGGCCUUCGGGUUGUAAACUGCUUUUGUACGGAACGAAAAGCCUUCUUUUAAUACAGGAGGGUCAUGACGGUACCGUAAGAAUAAGCACCGGCUAACUACGUG